GUUCGACUUAUCAUAAAUAGGUUUGGAUUUGAGCUAAAUAGGUUUGGAUCAUAAAUAGGUUGAUCCAAUUAAUCCAUUUAUUAUUCGGAUCAAGUUCAAGUUUCAGGUGUCUGAUCUAUUUAACCUAUUUAAUUUUUAUUGGAUCAGAUCAGAUCAGAAUAGAUAACCUAUUUGAAAGAAUAAACCUAGGACCAGGGUGGCUUGCUUAAAAUUUAAAACAUACAAUCAUGUAUCACCAUGACUGAAAACUAAAAGGUGGAAAUAUUCAUGUGGGCUACUGUUUCGACCUAUGUGAUCCUUCUCUAACCCUAAGUGA
RNAcentral lists this long non-coding RNA (316 nucleotides) under Elaeis guineensis (African oil palm). RNAcentral's name for it is "long non-coding RNA (EGUI_LNC062410)". Lineage: Eukaryota; Viridiplantae; Streptophyta; Magnoliopsida; Arecales; Arecaceae. The record is from RNAcentral.